RNAcentral lists this ribosomal RNA (465 nucleotides) under Vreelandella stevensii. Its description in RNAcentral is "partial 16S ribosomal RNA". It matches the Rfam family "Bacterial small subunit ribosomal RNA", at positions 338 to 795 of the family's 1533-position model. The record is from RNAcentral. Lineage: Bacteria; Pseudomonadati; Pseudomonadota; Gammaproteobacteria; Oceanospirillales; Halomonadaceae.
CCUACGGGAGGCUGCAGUGGGGAAUAUUGGACAAUGGGCGAAAGCCUGAUCCAGCCAUGCCGCGUGUGUGAAGAAGGCCUUCGGGUUGUAAAGCACUUUCAGUGGGGAAGAAAGCCUUGGGGCUAAUACCCUCGAGGAAGGACAUCACCCACAGAAGAAGCACCGGCUAACUCCGUGCCAGCAGCCGCGGUAAUACGGAGGGUGCGAGCGUUAAUCGGAAUUACUGGGCGUAAAGCGCGCGUAGGCGGUCUGAUAAGCCGGUUGUGAAAGCCCCGGGCUCAACCUGGGAACGGCAUCCGGAACUGUCAGGCUAGAGGGCAGGAGAGGAAGGUAGAAUUCCCGGUGUAGCGGUGAAAUGCGUAGAGAUCGGGAGGAAUACCAGUGGCGAAGGCGGCCUUCUGGACUGACACUGACGCUGAGGUGCGAAAGCGUGGGUAGCAAACAGGAUUAGAUACCCCGGUAGUC